This 1301-nucleotide ribosomal RNA is filed under the name metagenome. RNAcentral's name for it is "bacterial LSU rRNA". It matches the Rfam family "Bacterial large subunit ribosomal RNA", at positions 1635 to 2925 of the family's 2925-position model. The record is from RNAcentral.
GACACGACCGUACCGCAAACCGACACUGGUGCGCGAGAUGAGUAUUCUAAGGCGCUUGAGAGAACUCAGGAGAAGGAACUCGGCAAAUUGACACCGUAACUUCGGAAGAAGGUGUGCCUUUAGUAGGUGAAGUCCCUGCGGAUGGAGCCCAAUGAGGUUGCAAAAAAUCGGUGGCUGCGACUGUUUACUAAAAACACAGCACUCUGCAAACACGAAAGUGGACGUAUAGGGUGUGACGCCUGCCCGGUGCUGGAAGAUUAAAUGAUGGGGUGCAAGCUCUUGAUUGAAGUCCCAGUAAACGGCGGCCGUAACAAUAACGGUCCUAAGGUAGCGAAAUUCCUUGUCGGGUAAGUUCCGACCUGCACGAAUGGCGUAACGAUGGCCACACUGUCUCCUCCUGAGACUCAGCGAAGUUGAAAUGUUUGUGAUGAUGCAAUCUCCCCGCGGAAAGACGGAAAGACCCCAUGAACCUUUACUGUAGCUUUGUAUUGGACUUUGAACAGAUCUGUGUAGGAUAGGUGGGAGGCUUUGAAGUAGGGUCGCUAGAUCUUAUGGAGCCAACGUUGAAAUACCACCCUGGUGUGUUUGAGGUUCUAACCUAGGUCCAUUAUCUGGAUCGGGGACAGUGCAUGGUAGGCAGUUUGACUGGGGCGGUCUCCUCCCAAAGUGUAACGGAGGAGUUCGAAGGUACGCUAGUUACGGUCGGACAUCGUGACGAUAGUGCAAUGGCAUAAGCGUGCUUAACUGCGAGACUGACAAGUCGAGCAGAUGCGAAAGCAGGACAUAGUGAUCCGGUGGUUCUGUAUGGAAGGGCCAUCGCUCAACGGAUAAAAGGUACUCUGGGGAUAACAGGCUGAUACCGCCCAAGAGUUUAUAUCGACGGCGGUGUUUGGCACCUCGAUGUCGGCUCAUCUCAUCCUGGGGCUGUAGCCGGUCCCAAGGGUAUGGCUGUUCGCCAUUUAAAGAGGUACGUGAGCUGGGUUUAAAACGUCGUGAGACAGUUUGGUCCCUAUCUUCCGUGGGCGCUGCAGAUUUGAGGAAGCCUGCUCCUAGUACGAGAGGACCGGAGUGGACACACCUCUGGUGUAUCGGUUGUCACGCCAGUGGCAUUGCCGAGUAGCUAAGUGUGGAAGAGAUAACCGCUGAAAGCAUCUAAGCGGGAAACUCGUUUCAAGAUGAGAUCUGCCGGGGCCUUGAGCCCCCUAAAGAGUCGUUCAAGACCAGGACGUUGAUAGGUCAGGUGUGGAAGCGCAGUAAUGCGUUAAGCUAACUGAUACUAAUUGCUCGUGCGGCUUGACCAA